AUUGAACGCUGGCGGCAGGCUUAAAACAUGCAAGUAGAACGAGCGACGGACGGGUGAGUAAUGUCUGGGAAACUGCCUGAUGGAGGGGUAUAACUACUGGAAACGGUAGCUAAUACCGCAUACCAUCAGAUGUGCCCAGAUGGGAUUAGAUAGUAGGUGGGGUAAAGGCUCACCUAGGCGACGAUCCCUAGCUGGUCUGAGAGGAUGACCAGCCACACUGGAACUGAGACACGGUCCAGACUCCUACGGGAGGCAGCAGUGGGGAAUAUUGCACAAUGGGCGCAAGCCUGAUGCAGCCAUGCCGCGUGUGUGAAGAAGGCCUUCGGGUUGUAAAGCACUUUCAGCGGGGAGGCGUGACUCGCAGAAGAAGCACCGGCUAACUCCGUGCCAGCAGCCGCGGUAAUAC
This 406-nucleotide ribosomal RNA is filed under the name uncultured bacterium. RNAcentral's name for it is "partial 16S ribosomal RNA". It matches the Rfam family "Bacterial small subunit ribosomal RNA", at positions 30 to 526 of the family's 1533-position model. The record is from RNAcentral.